Molecule: long non-coding RNA, 933 nt
Filed under: Ananas comosus (pineapple)
Lineage: Eukaryota; Viridiplantae; Streptophyta; Magnoliopsida; Poales; Bromeliaceae
Description: long non-coding RNA (ACOM_LNC028015)
Source: RNAcentral
UGAAAUGCUGCCAAAUUAUGAAAGGAAAGAUGGAGAGAGAAAAAGGAAACAAAGAGAAAAUAAAAAUUUUGAAAAUAUAGUAGAGGUAAAAUGACUAAAUUGUCUAUGUAUUAAAAGACAAAAAUACCUUUUUUUUAGGUACCUGGUAACCGGUACCUCUCCAAAAUUGACCUGCUAUUGCAGGACACAAUUUUAAAAAAACUAAAUAUGAGCCGUUGAAUACGCGUGAAUGAACGGUAACGAAAAAAAAAAGUAUAGAAGCAUUACUCAUAUAUUACGUCUCUCGAAGUUUCGAAAGUAUGGGGCCUUUCGUGUUUGUAAGUUAUUUUUGAUGAUAGGAUAUUCUAUUUGACGAUCGGCUUCGUUAGACAUAAUCUACAUUAUUAUUGAAACUAUUUAGAAACCAAAUUUCAUAAUUUUUUGACAUCAUUUACCAAGCGAUCAUAGGGUCUCAAAAAUGACUAUUUUAACGAUUGAUGCGGCACAUUUUUAAGUUCAACGGUAUAGAAGUAUUCAAAUUAUAUGAAAAUUUAAUAAAAAAUUGUAACAUCAAGAGUAAGAACAAUACUUUCGAUUUGAAAUUUGAGUUCUUUACCUCUAUUUUUAUGAGAUUUUUAUUUUCAGUGUUCAUUUUGAAGCUACUUGUUCACUAGGUAAACGAAGUCAAAAAAUUAUGAAAUUUGGUUUCUAGAUAGUUCCAAUAGCGUAGAUCAUGUCUAAUGGAACCAAUCGCUAAAUCGGUUGAAAUUUGGUUUCUAGAUAGUUCCAAUAGCGUAGAUCAUAUCUAACGGAAUCAAUCACUAAAUCGGUUGUCCUAUUAUUGAAAACAACUUAUAAGAAAGAAAGUCUCCGUACUUUCGAAAGCAUAUGAGUCUCUCUCUCUCUCCCUCUCUCUCUCUCUCUCCCUAUAAUUUUAUACGAUAGUCUCUCUAC